CUUCUUGCAAGUAGUUUUAAACAAUAAACAUGGUAAAUUGCACAUUUAAGAGUUAUGACUGAAUCUGCUGUCUGCCUAAUGGUGUUCCACGCGAAAUUCUACAUCCCAAACGAGAAAGAGUAAAAUACGUAAAUUUAUUAUGGCAUGCAUAAAUGCUGCACACAAUCAGCAGUAAUUGAGGAAUGAGUUAUUUAUAGAAUAAAUGCGCAUGACCCGGUCAUUCCUAGUUUGAACAGUCAAGGCUUCCGCCGCAACAAAGCGCCCUUUAGCGCAAGCACACCCCGUUUUCGUUGGAAGGCACUGUUUACCACUUCCAGCAUUGUUUUUCCUACGAAGGAAUGGUGUUCCCUAGCAAAGGGCGAUGUCUCGCGCUUGUGCAGGACUCUGCCCUUAGCUUUUUGGUUGGUAUUUUUAUAACACAAAUCAGUAAAAUAAAGAACUGGACUUAAAGAGCACGGCUUCUUAGAAGUAUAAUCCACAACUGGUUCCAAUUUCUGGAAGCCUCUGCUAUACUGCAAUGAGAUGUACAGCUAUGGCAACUUCUUGCAGUAUCAAAAUAGACUUAUCAAAUGAAGAUGGAUCCAAGUCUGGUAUGAACAGGAGAAGGCAAGCAAGAUCUUUUCCAACAUAAUGCAUCCUGUGUCCUAAAUGUACUUAAAGUAAGGUAUAUAAAUAUUUAAUGGAAAUUAUGCAAGUUUCUGG
This is a long non-coding RNA of Zootermopsis nevadensis, 702 nucleotides long. RefSeq lists it as uncharacterized. The record is from RefSeq and is a predicted model, not a curated record. NCBI's taxonomy places the organism in Eukaryota, Metazoa, Arthropoda, Insecta, Blattodea, Termopsidae.